This 1359-nucleotide ribosomal RNA is filed under the name uncultured bacterium. Its description in RNAcentral is "16S ribosomal RNA". It matches the Rfam family "Bacterial small subunit ribosomal RNA". The record is from RNAcentral.
AGAGUUUGAUCAUGGCUCAGGACGAACGCUGGCGGCGUGUUUUAGGCAUGCAAGUCGAACGCCCCCUUCGGGGGGAGUGGCAAACGGGUGAGUAACAAGUUGGUAUCUGACUCCAUCUUUGGCAUAACUCGUCGAAAGAUGAGCUAAUUCCAAAUAGUCCCUGCCUCGCGCAGGGUAAAGAUUUAUCGGAUGGAGAGGAGCCUACUUCCCAUCAGCUUGUUGGCAGGGUAAUGGCCUACCAAGGCGAUGACGGGUAGCUGGUCUGAGAAGACGACCAGUCACACUGGGACUGAGACACUGCCCAGACUCCUACGGGAGGCUGCAGUCAAGAAUCUUCCUCAAUGGGCGAAAGCCUGAAGGAGCGACGCCGCGUGACCGAUGAAGCCCUUCGGGGUGUAAAGGUCUUUUCUGGAGAAGAAACCUUUUGGUUGACGGUAUUCCAGGAAUAAGCCACGGCUAACCUCGUGCCAGCAGCCGCGGUAAUACGAGGGUGGCAAGCGUUGUCCGGAUUCAUUGGGCGUAAAGCGUCUGUAGGCGCCCGGUCAAGUUUCUCGUUAAAUCCCAAUGCUCAACAUUGGGCCUACGGGAAAAACUGGUCGGGUUGAGGACGGGAGAGGUAGACGGAACUCACGGUGUAGCAGUGAAAUGCGUUAAUAUCGUGGGGAACACCAAUAGCGAAGGCUGUCUACUGGCCCUUUCCUGACGCUGAGAGACGAAAGCGUGGGUAGCGAAUGGGAUUAGAUACCCCAGUAGUCCACGCCGUAAACGAUGGAUACUAGACACAAGAAGAUUCGACCCUUUUUGUGUCGAAGCUAACGCGUCAAGUAUCCCGCCUGGGGAGUACGGCCGCAAGGCUAAAACUCAAAGGAAUUGACGGGGACCCGCACAAGCGGUGGAGCAUGUGGUUUAAUUCGACAAUAAGCGAAGAACCUUACCAGGGUUUGAAAACUAGCUGCACGCCCUAAGAAACUAGGGCAGCCUUCGAGGGUGCUAGUCAGGUGGUGCAUGGCUGUCGUCAGCUCGUGCCGUGAGGUGUUGGGUUAAGUCCCGCAACGAGCGCAACCCCUACUAUUAGUUGCCAUCAGGUUAAGCUGGGCACUCUAAUAGGACUGCCUACGCAAGUAGUGAGGAAGGUGGGGAUGACGUCAAGUCAAGCAUGGCCCUUACGCCCAGGGCUACACACGUGCUACAAUGGGUGCAACAAAGGGUUGCUAAGCCGCGAGGUGGAGCCAAUCCCAUAAAUGCAUCCUCAGUUCGGAUUGGAGUCUGCAACUCGACUCCAUGAAGCCGGAAUUGCUAGUAAUCGCGCAUCAGCAUGGUGCGGUGAAUACGUUCCCGGGCCUUGUACACACCGCCCGU